GCCAGGAUUGCCUAGUCAGGUCAAGGCGGUGGUCUUAAGAGGCCAUACGCGGGUUCGAAUCCCGCUCCUGGCG
RNAcentral lists this transfer RNA (73 nucleotides) under Candidatus Woesearchaeota archaeon CG10_big_fil_rev_8_21_14_0_10_34_8. Its description in RNAcentral is "tRNA-Leu". It matches the Rfam family "tRNA". From Rfam's summary of the family: Transfer RNA (tRNA) molecules are approximately 80 nucleotides in length. Their secondary structure includes four short double-helical elements and three loops (D, anti-codon, and T loops). Further hydrogen bonds mediate the characteristic L-shaped molecular structure. tRNAs have two regions of fundamental functional importance: the anti-codon, which is responsible for specific mRNA codon recognition, and the 3' end, to which the tRNAs corresponding amino acid is attached (by aminoacyl-tRNA synthetases). tRNAs cope with the degeneracy of the genetic code in two manners: having more than one tRNA (with a specific anti-codon) for a particular amino acid; and 'wobble' base-pairing, i.e. permitting non-standard base-pairing at the 3rd anti-codon position. The record is from RNAcentral. Lineage: Archaea; Nanobdellati; Candidatus Woesearchaeota.